CCUACGGGAGGCAGCAGUGGGGAAUAUUGCACAAUGGGGGAAACCCUGAUGCAGCGACGCCGCGUGAGUGAAGAAGUAAUUCGUUAUGUAAAGCUCUAUCAGCAGGGAAGAAAAUGACGGUACCUGAGUAAGAAGCCCCGGCUAACUACGUGCCAGCAGCCGCGGUAAUACGUAGGGUGCGAGCGUUAUCCGGAUUUACUGGGUGUAAAGGGAGCGUAGACGGCAGUGCAAGUCUGGAGUGAGAGGCGGGGGCUCAACGCCCGGACUGCUCUGGAAACUGUACGGCUGGCGUGCAGGAGAGGUAGGCGGAAUUCGUGGGGUAGCGGUGAAGUGCGUAGAUAUGACGAAGAAC
Molecule: ribosomal RNA, 352 nt
Filed under: uncultured bacterium
Lineage: Bacteria
Description: partial 16S ribosomal RNA
Rfam family: Bacterial small subunit ribosomal RNA
Source: RNAcentral